Pongo pygmaeus (Bornean orangutan) is the source of this 4140-nucleotide RNA transcript. RefSeq lists it as uncharacterized. The record is from RefSeq and is a predicted model, not a curated record. The transcript has 4 exons. NCBI's taxonomy places the organism in Eukaryota, Metazoa, Chordata, Mammalia, Primates, Hominidae.
UCUUAGAAACCGGUCCCUGAGGCUCGGCAAAGCAGGAGCCCUCCGUGGCAGUGCUUGGGUGGCGGGGCUCUGAGGCUCCGGCCUGACAUCUCUACGGGGUCGACGGGAACGUCUCCGGAUGCCAGGAGUCGCAAAGGGCCGACCAGGAUGAGGAAACCCCAGGCGGAGUCCGGGGGAAGCAGCACGCCAUCCCAGCCUCAGACCUGCCCGGACGCUUUUGGGGUAAGAUUGGGGAAGAUGCCAGGUGAUAGAAUACACCCUGCCUCUAGCAGCAUCCAAUCUGGAGCAAAGACUUCUUUCAACCCUCCCCCAAGCUUCCAAUACAAGCCCAAAUUCUGGAACAAGUCCUUUCCAACACCUCCUUCAGAGAAGCUCCCUGGCUCCAGGCAGUGCUUCCUCACCUCCCUGCAGCAGGAAGCCCAGCUUGCGAGCUGCAGGUGUGCUCCAGGUGGUCACUGGAUGCAGGGUAUUGACAGAUGGAUCCCAUCGAUACCCCCACUGCAGAACCAUGUACCAUUACCAGUUGUUGGGCAGGGAGACCUCCUGCUGCUGCCCAUCCUAGGGUGCAUCCUCCAACAUGGGUGCAUUGUGGUUCAGCCAGCACCUACACCACCUGCAGCCCAGGGCUCCUGUGGUGGGCCUGAGGUUCCUCCCUAUCAAAUGGAGAUGUGCUGGGGUUGCUGCCUUUGCUGAAACCCAUGUCCAGGUCAUCUUCGGGGUGGCCCAGGGUACAGGGCUCUGGAGACAGGCCAGAGGGCUGCAGGGGCAAAAACCAAGAAGAUGAAGGGAUCUCUGAGUCAGACCGCCUGGAUUUGCAUCCCACAGACUAGCUGCAAGGCCUGGGGAAGACUGGUUCACAUCUCUGGGCAUCAGUUUCCUCCCCUGUAAAGUGGGAGGUAUAACAGAUUCACUCCUACAGUUGUCUCUGAGCUUUACAGCAGGUAAUGUGUGCAAAGUACUUCGCACAAUGCCUGGCACACGGUAGGUGAUAAUAAACAGGGUUACUAUGAUAUCAUCAACUGAGCUAGGUCACUCGUGCACUUCUCCAAUGCUUCAGGGUUCCCCUCCAUCCCUCACAUGGUAGCAGCAAGUGAAAGGGCUGCCCCUGGCCUUGAGGAGCUCACAUCUUCUCAUUUCCCAGGGGUCUCCGUCCAGUGACCACACAUGCCUGGCAUGCAAUAGGCGCCUCAUCCACAUCUGGUGAAAGAGUGGAAAGCAGGUCAUUAUCAUGUAUUGUUUGGCACAGAAUCUGCAGUAGGUGACAGAGAAGUGAGUGACUGUAUUUGUGCCCACCAGUUCCUGUCCCUGAAUUUUCAGGGAUCAAGAGGCCUUAGGAAGUCUAGUACCAGGGAGUGGGCACUGUGUGGUGGGGCAGGAGGCAGGUCCUGAGAAAGGCAGUGAGGUGAGGAGAGGAGCUCUGCGUUUGAGGUCUGGAAGAUCCUCCACCAGGACCUCACCAAAGGCCCCGGGCAGGUCAUCCCUCCUCCCAGAAUCUCUCUAUGCUCUUCUGUAUAAUGGGGCUAGCCUGGAAGAGAUACUUGCACAACCAUGUUCAGAGCAGCAUCAUCCACAAUAACCAAAAGGUGGAAGCAACCCAAGUGUCCAUGGAUGGAUGGACGGAUCAACAAAAUGCUGACUAUUCAUACAGUGGAAUAGUGUUCAGCCUUGAAAAGGAAGGAGAUUCUGAUGCCUGCUGCAUCAAGAAUGAACCUCGAGGACAUUAGACUGAGCAAAAUAAGCCAGACCAAAAAGACAAAUGCUGUAUUAUUCCACUUUUUCAAGGCACCUAGAGUAGUCAAAUCCAUAGAGACACACAGGAGAAUGGUUGCUACCAGGUCCUGGGGAGGGUGGUGAUUGGGAAGUUGUUUUUAAAUGAGUUACAGAAUUGUAGUUUUACAAGAUGAAAAGCAUUCUGGAAAUUGGUUGCACAACAUUGUGAAUGUAUUUAGUGCCACUGAAAUGUAAACUUAAACAUAGUUAGACAGUAAAUUUUAGUUUAUUUUACCACAGUUUUUAUAAUGGGGUAGUUAUGCCUGUCUUGUGUUGCUGUAGGAUUUCAUGAGAUAACAUAUAAGGAACCACCCAGCAUGUUGCCUGGCACAUAGUAACUGCUCAAUAAAUCACAACUGGAUGCUAUUGAAGAUAAAGUUACUUGACUUCUCUGAGGCUUGCUCUCUUCAGCUGAAAAUUCUCCCAAAAUAUAUUAGAUGAGACCCUACUGUAUUAUACUGGGUUCAUAAAUACCACUCCCCCUUUUCCCUUCCCACAGAGUGCAGUGAAUAGAAGACACUUCUCUGCACCCCAAAAGCUCCAUGCUGAUUGCGAGAAGGAAAUGCUGGAUGGAGGGGUUCCUGAAACUACUGUGAGGGUUUCUUUUGAUUUCUCCUGCUUAGAAAUGGUGAGAGAACUUUGGAUGUGGAACGUGGAGUAGGAGGAACACGAAGUGGGGAUCUGCACUUGGGGUGGUCAGCACUGCGGAUGCCCAGCAAAGGCACUGCCUGGUCCACCUCCCGGAGGGGUCUCUGCGCCCCAGUCGGCAUCGCAGCUGAUGGCGAAACUUUUGGUGUGGCAGAAGAGUGUCCACAAACUUUGGAAGGUAUCCGCUGCAUCCUCCAUAGCCGUGUAUCCCUGCCGAGGGCGAUCUUCUCAGGGAGCGGAAAGUCUCGUUCAUGGGCCGGGGCUGGCUGGCUGGAGCCACUUGGGCGGCGCAGCCCUGGCGGAGGUUCAGGCGGCCCUGGUGUCGCAAGCGGCUGUGAGUGAUGCCUCCUUGGGGCCGGAGGGGUCCCAGGAAGGCUGCAGACCAGGGCUGACCAGCGGGCAGCAUGGUGGCCGCGAUGGAAGGUGACGGGGUUCGCAGCGCCAGGGGGCCCAGCAGACCCCGAGCCCGAGCAUCCCGCAUCGCCAGCAGCACCGCGGUGAGGCCUGGCGCUGGUGACGCGGCGGCCACUGCGCGAGGCCCACGACCCAGUCCCAGAGGCCAGCCCAUCGUCAGCUAACAUCAGGAACCCCGGGCCAGCUGAGGCCCGGGCCCCAGGGACAAGACAAAGAGCAGAGGCUCCGCAGGCGGGGCCAAGAGCCGGCAGCGCAGGCCUGGCUCCACCGCAGCGGAGCUCGCAGGGCGCAGCAGGCACCGGGCAGCGACCAGGGCUUCCAGAGGAGGCUGUGCACUCCCGCAAAGGCUCCUGCACGGCAUCCAGCCUCUCCGCGGGGACUCCACGUGCACCCCCUCCUCAUUGUCCUUGUCUAGGGCCUAGGCAAGGUCCUCGCUCCCAUGGCGCGACUCCGGGGGCGCAGGAGCCUAGGCUGAGCAGGUGGAGUAGGGUGAGCACCGCCAAGAACCCAACGAGAGUGGCGCCCGAGGGCGGCACAGGAGGCCGCAUUUAACGUGUCAAUCAUCUCAAAGAUUUUAUGACAUCUUUUUUUUGACAUCUUAUAAUAUCUGUAAUGUUUAUUAUAUCUUGUGAUAUAAUUAUUAACACCACUUCAUUGUGAUUAUUAUGAUUAUUCUUAUACCAACACAUCUUCAAUUAUUAAUAUUCCCAGUUGCUAAAGAAAAAUGUAAACGACUAGUUUUGAAAGCCUUACUUCUGCCAAUGGAAGCACAUUCCAGCAUGUCGCCAACGCAAUUCACUUUCCAUCACUUUCACAAGAAACGUUACUGCACAAUUAUACUAUCCUACCCUUAUAUACUUUGUGUGUGUGUACUUGUGUGUAUGUAUGUUAUAUAUGUUAUAUAUAUAUAUAUAUAUAAAGUAUGCCAGAGAUGAACAAGUAUUAGAAAAUUAAAUGCACACAGGUCAUGUCAGUGCUAUGUAUAAUGUGGUGUACUAAGUAUAGCUGCUCAACAGUGUGGAAUCUAGGCUGGAACAAGACUUCUAGUCUUAAGCAAUUCUUUCUAGGUUCAGUCUCUGGAAAUAAUGCUCUGUAUCAAAUGUGCGAGAAAACUAAUGGGUUUUAAAGACUAUUCUAUGUCAACUAUAACAUUUCAUUUGGGGAUUUCUGUCCCUUAUAAUAUCUACCUCAUUUUGGAUGGAUUCCUUGAGGCCUGGUUUAUUUUUCUUUUCCUUUCUACACAUCGCUGCUUAGAGUGAUGAAUGGAGUUGUAUUUUGAAUAAAAUAGCUAAGCAUCCUUUUGUGAGC